GGGUGGGGAGAAAAGCACCGGAAGAGGGAACGAGAGGGGAUGAAAAGGAACCAAGGGAGGACAAGAGUGAGAGCGAAUCGAGAGCGAGAGUGAGAUUGGCCUGCCGGGUGAGCCCAACGGGGGUCUGAACAUUAACCAAUCAUAAAUCUAUUGACCAUGCUCGAGAAUCCAGGUGAGGGGAAGAAGAAAGAAAAAGAAGAGGAUGAGAAGAAAACGUUAUCCUUGGAUCGUUUCCUUCCUGACCUUACCUCGUUUCGCUAAUUCGUUAACGACCUUGCACGAGCUUCGAACUGGGUUGGGUUGGAGGGGAAGGGUUUGGGCCUGGCCGACUCCUGGUCCCGUAUUAUCUUAGCAGUUGGUUUAAACACUCCUUGCUCGCGGGUCAGAGAAAACAACACGAUUAUAAGUUUAAGGUAGCCAAGUGAACUGAACAGAACCAAACGUAACCGAUCAAGAGAGCGGUACUCGACUUCUCGUAAAAUUAUCCGUAAUAAAAGCAUGAUUUACGUUCACGUUCUUGAAAAGCGGAUCGUUCAAACGUUCUUCUGCUCCUUUCAUUUUGUUAUUUUUUUCCUCUUCUUCGUUUCGUCGAUCGAAAAUGACGAGGUCAACGAUGACGACAACAACUACGACGACGACGACGACGACGACGGCGGCAAAUUCCCUCGGGAGGAACUCUGACCUUUCGAUGAGAUAAAA
This 699-nucleotide long non-coding RNA is filed under the name Polistes fuscatus (common paper wasp). Its description in RNAcentral is "uncharacterized LOC122523636". Lineage: Eukaryota; Metazoa; Arthropoda; Insecta; Hymenoptera; Vespidae. The record is from RNAcentral.